This 489-nucleotide ribosomal RNA is filed under the name uncultured bacterium. Its description in RNAcentral is "bacterial SSU rRNA". It matches the Rfam family "Bacterial small subunit ribosomal RNA", at positions 29 to 507 of the family's 1533-position model. The record is from RNAcentral.
AUGAACGCUAGCGGCAGGCUUAACACAUGCAAGUCGAGGGGCAGCAUAAACAUUGCUUGCAAUGUUUGAUGGCGACCGGCGCACGGGUGCGUAACGCGUAUGUAACCUACCUCAAACAGGGGGCAUAACACUGAGAAAUUGGUACUAAUUCCCCAUAACACCUGAUAGGGCAUCCUAUUAGGUUGAAAGUUCCGGCGGUUUGAGAUGGACAUGCGUUGUAUUAGCUAGUUGGUGAGGUAACGGCCCACCAAGGCGACGAUCAGUAGCCGGACUGAGAGGUUUGAACGGCCACAUUGGGACUGAGAUACGGCCCAGACUCCUACGGGAGGCAGCAGUGAGGAAUAUUGGUCAAUGGUCUGACGACUGAACCAGCCAUGCCGCGUGAAGGUGACGGCCCUAUGGGUCUUAAACUUCUUUUGUAAGGGAGCAAUAAGGUCUACGUGUAGAUUGAUGAGAGUACCUUACGAAUAAGCAUCGGCUAACUCCGUG